AUGGAUGGCCAAACAAACUUUCUGGUGGCCGUUAAGAAGAAGAAAAUUCUUUGCAGAAGCACGUGCCAGUGUUUUGCAAUGCACGGCACACAUCGAGGCUUGCGGCGCACACUGGGACACAAUCGGAUUCUGGAGCUCCAGGGACAAAGAGUGCGGCUAAUUUGUGCAGCCGCUGCUUUAGAAUGGCGUAAGAAGGAACCACUUCACAGCUUUGGAACUGGAGGUAGAAAUAACACUCUGCUAAAGACCGACCUUGGUUGCUGUGUUUAUAGAGAGCAGUCUCUGACCCGAGGAACGUUCAGGUGCUUGUGCUAACGAGCUGUGUUAUAAUGGAGUUCUCUUGGUCUUAGAACCCUGCAUUUUGCUGACAGAAUUCCCUCAGCUCUAUCAUGAAACACAUUUUGGUGCCAGAGAGAUUGAAAUCUGUGGAAACAAAAUUAUUUCGUCAGUUGGUGAUGCAUUUGGGCAUUUUCCAUUCUUGCUAACAAAAAAAAGAGUCUUUGCUCACGUGACCGCGAAAGCCUGGUGAAAUACGCCACGAACAUCCUGAAAUGAGUCCUGGCCCCAAAGCACUGAUGGCGAAGUCUUAUAUUUUGACAUGAAGCACAACACGUAGUAAAGAGCUAGCCAGCACUGUAAUGCUGCCUGAGUUGGUCUUUGGCCUUCUCUAGCUUGACUUUUCUGGGGAUUGACUACCCCUGGAUGCCUGGAGCUUUUCAAGAGGCGAUUGUUUCCUUGUGGCAUGUCUAUGCUGACAAUUCCUGGAGACUCCACCUCCUCUUUGAGUUCCCCUGGGCAGGCUCUAUUCCCUAAGAGCCCCACUCUAACCUUAUUGUUUCAUGGAAAACCAGUCUUUCAACACAAAGGGUUGUGGGUCAACAAUGGCUUUCCCUUGGAGCUAUUUUUAUUUUCCUGAGAUUCCUGGUAAAAUUACCAGUGCCUUCAUCUAAGUAAAUAAAUCUGUGGUGUAGGGAAUUUGAGGUAUGUGGCACGACAAGUUGGGUAGAAAAUUUUGCCUGGGAGAGGGGUUCUUUUCAACAGCUCCUCCUCCCCAAACGUAGGAACCGAACAUUUUACAAACCAUUCUAGUUAAGUCUCUUCGUGUCUGUUUCCUCAUCUGUAAAUAAAUAUAGACGAUGACUUAAGAAUUGUUUCCUGCUGUAACAUUUUCUGAUUCCAUGAUGUAAGUGAUUUCCUGGGACCAGUGAGAUAGAGGUCAUCUACUUUAUUUUCCUAGACACAUAUGGCUCACCAAUUGUUAAAAUUUGUAUUGAAUUUUUGUACACCCAGGUUCACAGUAGCGUUGUUCACAAUAGUCAAAAGGGGGAAGCACCCCAGGUGUCUAUUCAUG
RNAcentral lists this long non-coding RNA (1351 nucleotides) under Macaca mulatta (Rhesus monkey). RNAcentral's name for it is "lncRNA (ENSMMUG00000055762.1)". The record is from RNAcentral. Lineage: Eukaryota; Metazoa; Chordata; Mammalia; Primates; Cercopithecidae.